CCUACGGGUGGCUGCAGCCGAGAAUAUUCGACAAUGGACGAAAGUCUGAUCGAGCGACGCCGCGUGAUUGAUGAAGUCCCUCUGGGACGUAAAGAUCUUUUAUGAGGGAAGAAGUUUAUUGACUGUACCUCACGAAUAAGAGGCUCCUAAUCUCGUGCCAGCAGGAGCGGUAAUACGAGAGCCUCGAGCGUUAUCCGGAAUUAUUGGGCGUAAAGGGUGCGUAGGUUGUUCUGUUAGUCUUUUGUUAAAGCCCCGUGCUUAACACGGGAUACACGAAAGAAACGGCAGGACUUGAAAGUGUGAGAGGCGUACGGAACUCAUGGUGUAGGAGUGAAAUCCGUUGAUAUCAUGGGGAACACCAAAAGCGAAGGCAGUACGCUGGCGCAUAUUUGACACUGAAGCACGAAAGCGUAGGGAGAGAAUGGGAUUAGAUACCCCAGUAGUC
Molecule: ribosomal RNA, 445 nt
Filed under: uncultured bacterium
Lineage: Bacteria
Description: bacterial SSU rRNA
Rfam family: Bacterial small subunit ribosomal RNA
Source: RNAcentral